Grammomys surdaster is the source of this 1995-nucleotide long non-coding RNA. RefSeq lists it as uncharacterized. The transcript has 3 exons. The record is from RefSeq and is a predicted model, not a curated record. NCBI's taxonomy places the organism in Eukaryota, Metazoa, Chordata, Mammalia, Rodentia, Muridae.
CGCCCAGGAGGCCGUAGGUCUCGCGCAUCACAUCCCGGUAUAGAGUCCUCUGCGCGGGCCGCAGAGACCCCCACUCCUCGGAGGAGAAGUACACGGCCACGUCCGCGAACUUCAAGGCCCUUGGCCUCCUGCCCCUUCUCCGACUAGGUCCAGCCUCUCCGGGUGCCCGCGCGAGGAGCGGAGCCGAAGGUGGCGCCAUGGGACCUGCUCCCCGGCCUUGCCCCGGCCUUGCCCGGGCUUAGCACCGCGUACCCCGAGACCUAGAAGCACGGCCGGGAAGGCCCGGAGAAAAUCGAAUCGGCGGCCUGAGGGGCCGGGCGGCCCGACACAGACCGCCCCGUUAUUCAGGGAACUCCCGCUGGAACUUGGGUGAGAGGCACCGGAAGAUGCCUUCGGGGAAGAUGGCGGCACUGCUCCUGUACCACCGCUGCCUAGAACACAGGCAGGUUCCAGCUAUCGAUUUUAUUGACCCGAACGCCAUGCCGACUUCUUAACCUCCUUGCCCUAAAGUGUAAUGGCGCUGCGAGAUGGCUGCAUGCCUACUUUUCUCCUAUCUAUUGCAUUCGUUUAUUGGUCGGUAGCUGAAGAUCGGGCGUUCUGAUUGGGUAUUGGUGAAGGCGGCUCAUUUGAAUGAAGCCAACAGAUUCUUAAGGGCAAGAAGGUGGACGAUGUGUUAUGAGUAGGAGGCUCUUCUUGUAUUCUCCAACGUUUGUUUGUCCUACUUGGAGAAGACGUUUCUACACGUCUUCCUAGGGAAAGUCACAUAAUGUCAACAUGGAUUUUUGAACAGCUGAAUCCUAUGAUGAUAAAGUUGUCAAAGCCAGGAAUUCUGACAAGGACUAGAUGAGCAGGGAGCAGUGAUAACGUUCUGAUUCACAAAAGAUAUGGUCUCAUGUUGUCCAGUCUAGACUCAACACUCACUAUGUAGCUGAGGAUGACCAAGAACUUCUGCAUGCUCAAAUUACAAGCUUCCAGCAGAAGAUGUGGCCCAGAUUAGAAGUGGAUUUUCCAAGUUCAAAAGAUCUGGAUUAAAGGUGCAUCUUCCUGUUUCAAAUAUCUGGAUUAGAAGUAGAUCUUUCAACUUCAAAUUAAACAAAAAUCCCUCACAGGUAUGCCCCUCCAUUUUGGGGGUUUAGUUAAUUACAGAUGUAAUCAAGUUGACAACCAAGAAUAGCCAUCACAUAGAGAUUCACUCUAUCAGUUCUGUUCUUCUAGAGAACCCUGACUAAUACAGCUCCAUAGCCAGACACUGUCUUCCAGGCUCUGGUGGUACACGCCUGGAAUCCUAGCAUUUGAUAGGUCAAUGGAGAGAAUCAAGAGGUCAAGGUCAAAUGUGGGGCCAGCCUGGGCUAUGUGAGUUCUGUCCAAAACAGACAAAAACAUCUGCAUCUCCUUUCUCCCUUGGAGCUUUCGUUCUACAAACAGGACAGAUUUGGGGAAAAUGCUAGUGACAGAAUGUUGCUUGCGUCCAUGCCAUCGUCUUUCAAUGAAUACAAUGACUUCAGAGUUUUGUUUGGAUUUUUCUUUUCUCUCUUUAUAUAUUUUUUUCAGCUAAUGUUUAUGAAAAGUGAGUACUUAGACCUGUGCUACUAAGGAAAGUCUUUCUCAAGAAAGUGAUUGGUUCUGCACAAGGGUGAGCCCAUCAAAAGCCUGGCAUAGAUGGGAGAAGGACUUAGAAAGUCACUGGGAAAGCAACAGGUACAAGGGACAAUGAAGGGUGGGAGGAGAUAUGAGAGGAUUAGGGGAGAUAGCAGCCAGAAUGCAUUAUAUACAUAUGAAAUUGCCAAAGAACUUAUUUAAAAGUAUAUACUUUUAGAGGUGUAUGUUUUUCUUCAUAUGUCUGAGUGUUUUGUCUGUGUGUAGGCACAAGAAUGCCUAGUACAGAGGGUAAAAAGAUCGCACCAGAUCCCCUGGAACUCAAGUUACAGAGAGUCGUACGUAACCAUAUAGGUGCUGGGGAUCCAACAUGGGUCCUCUGCAAGAGCUGCAGGUCUA